CGGAAUUGCUAGUAAUGGCAGGUCAGCAUACUGCCGUGAAUACGUUCCCGGGCCUUGUACACACCGCCCGUCACACCAUGAGAGUUGGGAAUACCCGAAGCCUGUGAGCUAACGUUAAGAGGCAGCAGUCGAAGGUAGAAUCAAUGAUUGGGGUGAAGUCGUAACAAGGUAGC
Molecule: ribosomal RNA, 173 nt
Filed under: uncultured bacterium
Lineage: Bacteria
Description: partial 16S ribosomal RNA
Rfam family: Bacterial small subunit ribosomal RNA
Source: RNAcentral